CAGGGAAUAUUGCACAAUGGGCGAAAGCCUGAUGCAGCGACGCCGCGUGAGGGAUGAAGGCUCUCGAGUUGUAAACCUCUUUCAGUAGGGACGAAGCGAAAGUGACGGUACCUACAGAAGAAGCCCCGGCCAACUACGUGCCAGCAGCCGCGGUAAUACGUAGGGGGCGAGCGUUGUGCGGAUUUAUUGGGCGUAAAGAGCUCGUAGGCGGCUUAGCAAGUGGGUCGUGAAAUACCGAGGCUCAACCUCGGCACGCCGGUCGAAACUGCUACGGCUAGGGUCCGGUAGAGGAGGGUGGAAUUCCCGGUGUAGCGGUGAAAUGCGCAGAUAUCAGGAGGAACACCAGUAGCGAAGGCGGCUCUCUGGGCCGGUACCGACGCUGAGGAGCGAAAGCGUGGGGAGCAAACAGGAUUAGAUACCCCCGUAGUCC
Molecule: ribosomal RNA, 430 nt
Filed under: uncultured prokaryote
Description: bacterial SSU rRNA
Rfam family: Bacterial small subunit ribosomal RNA
Source: RNAcentral